AGAACGAACGCUGGCGGCAUGCCUAACACAUGCAAGUCGAACGUGAUCCAGGCUUCGGCCUGGUGAAAGUGGCAGACGGGUGAGUAACGCGUGGGAACCUGCCCUGUGGUAGGGAAUAACCGUGGGAAACUGCGGCUAAUACCCUAUGAGUCCUUCGGGAGAAAGAUUUAUCGCCAUAGGAGGGGCCCGCGUCGGAUUAGGUAGUUGGUGGGGUAACGGCCUACCAAGCCUUCGAUCCGUAGCUGGUCUGAGAGGAUGAUCAGCCACACUGGGACUGAGAUACGGCCCAGACUCCUACGGGAGGCAGCAGUGGGGAAUAUUGGACAAUGGGGGCAACCCUGAUCCAGCAAUGCCGCGUGGAUGAUGAAGGCCUUCGGGUUGUAAAGUCCUUUCGGCGGGAAGAUGAUGACGGUACCGCAGAAGAAGCCCCGGCUAACUUCGCGCCAGCAGCCGC
This 454-nucleotide ribosomal RNA is filed under the name uncultured bacterium. RNAcentral's name for it is "SSU rRNA". It matches the Rfam family "Bacterial small subunit ribosomal RNA", at positions 26 to 518 of the family's 1533-position model. The record is from RNAcentral.